GUGGGGAAUAUUGGACAAUGGGCGAAAGCCUGAUCCAGCCAUGCCGCGUGUGUGAAGAAGGUCUUCGGAUUGUAAAGCACUUUAAGUUGGGAGGAAGGGCAGUAAGUUAAUACCUUGCUGUUUUGACGUUACCGACAGAAUAAGCACCGGCUAACUUCGUGCCAGCAGCCGCGGUAAUACGAAGGGUGCAAGCGUUAAUCGGAAUUACUGGGCGUAAAGCGCGCGUAGGUGGUUUUGUAAGUUGAAGGUGAAAUCCCCGGGCUCAACCUGGGAACUGCCUCCAAAACUGCAUGACUAGAGUACGGUAGAGGGUAGUGGAAUUUCCUGUGUAGCGGUGAAAUGCGUAGAUAUAGGAAGGAACACCAGUGGCGAAGGCGACUACCUGGACUGAUACUGACACUGAGGUGCGAAAGCGUGGGGAGCAAACAGGAUUAGAAACCCCUGUAGUCC
RNAcentral lists this ribosomal RNA (450 nucleotides) under uncultured bacterium. RNAcentral describes it as "bacterial SSU rRNA". It matches the Rfam family "Bacterial small subunit ribosomal RNA", at positions 354 to 796 of the family's 1533-position model. The record is from RNAcentral.